CCUAUGGGCCAAUCUAUAGGGGCGGUGGCCCCCAUCCCACACCGCCUGAUAUAACUGAUAGGGGCCGAAAAACCCCGAACCCACAAGGUCCCCAUAUGGGGCAGGGAUGGGAUCUCUCGCCCUGAUUGGUGGAUCUAUGGGGUGUGGGUGGGGGGGAUGCAAAAGGGGGAAAUUGGGGCGCUGUUGUGGGGUGGGGAGGGGGAAUAUAGGGGCAAAUCGGGGCCCCAAUAGAGUUGGGGGGGUGAACUGUGAGGUGGGGUGAUAAUGUGGUGGGGUUAUGGGGUGAUAUCAGGGGGAAAUGGGUCCCAUUGUGGUGGGGUUAUGGGGUGAUAUAGGGGGAAAUUGGGGUCCAAUUGUGGUGGGUUUAUGGGGUGAUAAUGUGGUGGGGUUAUGGGGUGAUAUAGGGGGAAAUUGGGGUCCCAUUGUGGUGGGGUUAUGGGGUGACAAUGUGGUGGGGUUAUGGGGGUCUCCAGUCCAUUGGGGUCUUCCAGUUCAAUCCCAGUCUAUUUGGGGUUCUUCCCCAAUUCAAUCCCAGUCUUAUUUGGUCUUCCAGUUCAAUCCCAGUUGGUUUGGGGUCUUCCCCAGUUCAAUCCCAGUUGGUUUGGGGUCUUCCCAGUUUCAAAUCCCAGUCUAUUUGGGGUCUUCCCAUGUUCAUCCCAGUCUAUUUGGGGUCUUCCCAGUUCAAUCCCAGUUGGUUUGGGGUCUUCCCAGUUCAAUCCCAGUUGGUUUGGGGUCUUCCCAGUUCAAUCCCAGUCUAUUUGGGGUCUUCCCAGUUCAAUCCCAGUUGGUUUGGGGUCUUCCCAGUCCAUUUCUGCCUCUUCCAUUGACGUGGUAUAUGGCCGAAGGGCUGAGAAAUGGGGUAAAAUGGGGGAAAAUAGGGAAAGUAAUGGGGGAAAUAGGGGAAAUUAGGGGGGAAAUAGGGAAGUAUGGGGGAAAUAGGGGAAGUAAUGGGGGAAAAUGGCGGGGAAUAAUGGGGGAAAUAGGGGAAAUUAGAGGGAAAUGGGGGGAAAUAGGGGAAAUUAAAGGGGGAAAUAAGGGGGAAUAGGGGAAAUAAUGGCGGAAAUAGGGAAAUAAGGGGGCAAAUAAUGGGAAUGGGGGAAAUAAUGGGGGAAAUAGGCCGGAAAUUAAGAGAGAAUGGGGGAAAUAGGGGAAAUUAAGGGAAAUAGGGGGGAAUGGGGGAAACAAUGGGAAAUGGGAAAUUAAGGAGGGAAAUGGGGGGAAAUGGGGAAAUUAAAGGGGGAAAUAGGGGGAAAUGGGGGAAUACUGGGAAAUAGGGGAAAUUAGGGGGGAAAUGGGGGUAAAUAGGGGAAAUUAAGGGGGAAAUAAGGGGGAAGUAGGGGGGAAAUGGGGAAAUAAUGGAGGGAAAUGGGGGAUUAAUUGGGGGAAAACAGGGGAAAUGGCGGGAAAGUAAAUGGGGAAAUAGGGGAAAUGGGGGGAAAUAAUGGGGAAAUGGGGGAAAUAAUGGGGGAAAUGGGGAAAAUAAUGGGGGAAAUAAGGGGAAUAGGGGGGAAUAAUGAUUGGAAAUAGGGGAAAUAAUGGGGGAUAAUGGGGAAAAUGGGGAAAUAAUGGGGGAAAGUGGGAAAUAGGGGAAAUAAUGGGGAUAAUGGGGACAAUAAUGGGAAUAUUGGGGGAAAUAGGGGGAAUGGGGGAAUCAUGAUGGGGAAAUAGGGGAAUAAUGGGGGAUAAAUGGGGGAAAUGGAGAAAUAAUGGGGGGAAAUGGCGGGAAAUGGGGGGCAAUAAUGAAUGGAAAUACGCGGGAAAUAAUGGGGGAAAUGGGGGAAUAAUGAUGAUAGGGCAAUAAUGGGGGAUAAUGGGAAAAUGAGGGAAAUAAUGGGGAAAAUUGGGGGAAAUAAUGGGGGACAAAUGGGAAAUGGGCGGAAAAUAACAUGGGGGAAAUGGGGUGGGAAAUAUGGGUGGGAAUGGGGAAAAGGGGGGAAUAUGAUGGAAAUAGGGGAAAUUAAUCGGGAUAAUGGGGGAAAUGAGCGGAAAAUAAUGGGGAAAAAUGGGGGAAAUAAUGGGGGAAAUCAGGGGAAAUGGGGGGGAAUAAUGAUGGAAAUAGGGAAAUAAUGGGGAAAAUGGGGGGAAAAUGGGGGAAAUAAUGGGGGAAUGGGGGAAAUAAGGGGGAAAAUGGGGGGAAAUAGGGGGAAAUAGGGAUAAUAAUGGGGAAAAUGGGGGGAAUAUGGGGAAAUAGGGGAAAUAAUGGGGGAAAUAGGGGCAAUGGGGGGGAAUAAAUGGGGAAUAGGGGAAAUUAAUGGGGGAAAU
Molecule: long non-coding RNA, 2262 nt
Organism: Coturnix japonica (Japanese quail)
Lineage: Eukaryota; Metazoa; Chordata; Aves; Galliformes; Phasianidae
Source: Ensembl